RNAcentral lists this non-coding RNA (693 nucleotides) under Salinivibrio sp. KP-1. RNAcentral's name for it is "Bacterial small subunit ribosomal RNA". It matches the Rfam family "Bacterial small subunit ribosomal RNA", at positions 750 to 1442 of the family's 1533-position model. The record is from Rfam by way of RNAcentral. Lineage: Bacteria; Pseudomonadati; Pseudomonadota; Gammaproteobacteria; Vibrionales; Vibrionaceae.
GAUGCGAAAGCGUGGGUAGCAAACAGGAUUAGAUACCCUGGUAGUCCACGCCGUAAACGCUGUCUACUUGGAGGUUGAGGUUUAAGACUUUGGCUUUCGACGCUAACGCAUUAAGUAGACCGCCUGGGGAGUACGGCCGCAAGGUUAAAACUCAAAUGAAUUGACGGGGGCCCGCACAAGCGGUGGAGCAUGUGGUUUAAUUCGAUGCAACGCGAAGAACCUUACCUACUCUUGACAUCCAGCGAAUCCUUUAGAGAUAGAGGAGUGCCUUCGGGAGCGCUGAGACAGGUGCUGCAUGGCUGUCGUCAGCUCGUGUUGUGAAAUGUUGGGUUAAGUCCCGCAACGAGCGCAACCCUUAUCCUUGUUUGCCAGCACGUAAAGGUGGGAACUCCAGGGAGACUGCCGGUGAUAAACCGGAGGAAGGUGGGGACGACGUCAAGUCAUCAUGGCCCUUACGAGUAGGGCUACACACGUGCUACAAUGGCAGAUACAGAGGGCAGCGAAGCUGCGAAGUGGAGCGAAUCCCUUAAAGUUUGUCGUAGUCCGGAUUGGAGUCUGCAACUCGACUCCAUGAAGUCGGAAUCGCUAGUAAUCGUGGAUCAGAAUGCCACGGUGAAUACGUUCCCGGGCCUUGUACACACCGCCCGUCACACCAUGGGAGUGGGCUGCACCAGAAGUAGAUAGCUUAACCUU